GGGCGUGUAGCUCAAUGGUAGAGCAGUGGCCUUUUAAGCCAUUGGUUAAGGGUUCGAGCCCCUUCACGCUCA
Molecule: non-coding RNA, 72 nt
Organism: Chloroflexi bacterium RBG_16_47_49
Lineage: Bacteria; Bacillati; Chloroflexota
Source: Rfam